This 592-nucleotide ribosomal RNA is filed under the name uncultured fungus. RNAcentral describes it as "eukaryotic LSU rRNA". The stretch from base 220 to 373 matches the Rfam family "5.8S ribosomal RNA". The record is from RNAcentral. Lineage: Eukaryota; Fungi.
CCGUAGGUGAACCUGCGGAAGGAUCAUUAAACCUUAUACUUCGGGGGGCCGGCGUUGAAUAGCAGUUCCAUCGCGGAUCAGCUGCUCUCCCCGCCCUGUCUGAACAUUACCCAUGCUUUUUGCGUACCCAUUGUUUCCUCGGCAGGCUUGCCUGCCAGCAGGACCCCCUUACAACCUUUUGCAAUUGCAGUCAGCGUCAGAAAAAAACGUAAUAGUUACAACUUUCAACAACGGAUCUCUUGGUUCUGGCAUCGAUGAAGAACGCAGCGAAAUGCGAUAAGUAGUGUGAAUUGCAGAAUUCAGUGAAUCAUCGAAUCUUUGAACGCACAUUGCGCCCCUUGGUAUUCCAUGGGGCAUGCCUGUUCGAGCGUCAUUUGUACCCUCAAGCUUUGCUUGGUGAUGGGUGUUUGUUCCGCUGCAACGCGUGAACUCGCCUCAAAUCAAUUGGCAGCCGGCAAUCUGGUGUUGGAGCGCAGCACAUUUUGCGCUCUUCGCUGUGGAUUGCGGGCGUCCAUGAAGCCUAUAUUUUCGCGCUUGACCUCGGAUCAGGUAGGGAUACCCGCUGAACUUAAGCAUAUCAAUAAGCGGAGGA